GACGGAGGAUGCAAGUGUUAUCCGGAAUCACUGGGCGUAAAGCGUCUGUAGGUGGUUUAAAAAAGUCUACUGUUAAAGCUUGAAGCUUAACUUCAAAAAUGCCGUAGAAACUUUUAAACUUGAGUAUGGUAGGGGUAGAGGGAAUUUCCAGUGGAGCGGUGAAAUGCGUAGAUCUUGGAAAGACCACCAAUGGCGAAGGCACUCUACUGGGCCAUAACUGACACUAAGAGACGAAAGCUAGGGGAGCAAAUGGG
RNAcentral lists this ribosomal RNA (254 nucleotides) under uncultured bacterium. RNAcentral describes it as "partial 16S ribosomal RNA". It matches the Rfam family "Bacterial small subunit ribosomal RNA", at positions 524 to 776 of the family's 1533-position model. The record is from RNAcentral.